This 916-nucleotide ribosomal RNA is filed under the name uncultured bacterium. RNAcentral's name for it is "bacterial SSU rRNA". It matches the Rfam family "Bacterial small subunit ribosomal RNA", at positions 485 to 1399 of the family's 1533-position model. The record is from RNAcentral.
AAGAAGCCCCGCCUAAUUAUUUGCCAGCAGCCGCGGUAAUAAUUAGGGGGCUAGCGUUAUCCUCAUUUUUUGGGUGUAAAGGGAGCGUAGUCGGCUGUGCAAGUCUGAAGUGAAAGGCAUGGGCUCUACCUGUGGACUGCUUUGGAAACUGUGCAUCUUGAGUGUCGGAGAGGUAAGUGGAAUUCUUAGUGUAGCGGUGAAAUGAUGUAGAUAUUAUGGAGGAACACCUGUGGUGAAGGUGGCUUCUUGGACGAUGACUGACGUUGAGGCUGGUAAGAAUGGGGAGCAUACAACAUUAGAUACCACCGUAGUCCUCCCCGUAAUCGAUGACUGAUAGGUGUCGUGUAUCAAAGUUAUUCGGUGCCCCAGCUAACACAAUAAGCAGUCCCCCUGGGGAGUACGUUCGCAAGAAUGAAAAUUAAAGGAAUUGACGGGGAGCCGCCCCAGCGGUAGAGCAUGUGGUUUAAUUUGAAGCAACGGGAAGAACCUUUCCCGAUCUUGACAUCGCGAUGGCCGGUUCGUAAGGGAAGCUUUUCUUUGGAACUUUGGUGACAGGUGGUGCACGGUUGUCGUCAGCUCGUGUCGUGAGAUGUUGGGUUAAGUCCCGCAACGAGCGCAACCCUUAUCUUCAGUAGCCAUCAUUUUGGAUGGGCCCUUUGGAGAGCCUGCCCGGGAUAACGUGGAGGAAGGUGGGGAUGACGUCAAAUCAUCAUGCCCCUUAUGUCCAGGGCUACACACGUGUUACAAUGGCGUGAACAAAGAGAAGCAGAUCCGCGAGGCGGAUCAAAUCUCAAAAACAAGGUUUCAGUUGGGAUUGUUGUUGGCAACUGGCCCCCAGGAAGCGGGUUUCGUUGGUAUUGGCCGUUCAGCAUGGUGCGGUGAAUAAAUUCCCGGGUCUUGCACUCACCGCCCGUCA